UACGGAGGGUGCGAGCGUUGUCCGGAAUCAUUGGGCGUAAAGAGCGUGUAGGCGGCCCGGUAAGUCCGCUGUAAAAGUCCAGGGCUCAACCCUGGAAAGCCGGUGGAUACUGUCGGGCUAGAGUCCGGAAGAGGCGAGUGGAAUUCCUGGUGUAGCGGUGGAAUGCGCAGAUAUCAGGAAGAACACCCGUGGCGAAGGCGGCUCUCUGGAACGCAACUGACGCUGAGACGCGAAAGCGUGGGGAGCAAACAGG
RNAcentral lists this ribosomal RNA (253 nucleotides) under uncultured bacterium. RNAcentral's name for it is "partial 16S ribosomal RNA". It matches the Rfam family "Bacterial small subunit ribosomal RNA", at positions 524 to 776 of the family's 1533-position model. The record is from RNAcentral.